ACGUUGGCGGCAGGCUUACACAUGCAAGUCGAACGGUAGCAGGAGAAAGCUUGCUUUCUUGCUGACGAGUGGCGGACGGGUGAGUAAUGCUUGGGAAUCUGGCCUAUGGAGGGGGGAUAACGACGGGAAACUGUCGCUAAUACCGCGUAUUAUCGGAAGAUGAAAGUGCGGGACUGAGAGGCCGCAUGCCAUAGGAUGAGCCCAAGUGGGAUUAGGUAGUUGGUGGGGUAAAUGCCUACCAAGCCAGCGAUCUCUAGCUGGUCUGAGAGGAUGACCAGCCACACUGGAACUGAGACACGGUCCAGACUCCUACGGGAGGCAGCAGUGGGGAAUAUUGCGCAAUGGGGGGAACCCUGACGCAGCCAUGCCGCGUGAAUGAAGAAGGCCUUCGGGUUGUAAAGUUCUUUCGGUAUUGAGGAAGGUUGAUGUGAUAAUAGCACAUCAAAUUGACGUUAAAUACAGAAGAAGCACCGGCUAACUCCGUGCCAGCAGCCGCGGUAAUACGGAGGGUGCGAGCGUUAAUCGGAAUAACUGGGCGUAAAGGGCACGCAGGCGGUUAUUUAAGUGAGGUGUGAAAGCCCUGGGCUUAACCUAGGAAUUGCAUUUCAGACUGGGUAACUAGAGUACUUUAGGGAGGGGUAGAAUUCCACGUGUAGCGGUGGAAUGCGUAGAGAUGUGGAGGAAUACCGAAGGCGAAGGCAGCCCCUUGGGAAUGUACUGACGCUCAUGUGCGAAAGCGUGGGGAGCAAACAGGAUUAGAUACCCUGGUAGUCCACGCUGUAAACGCUGUCGAUUUGGGGGUUGGGGUUUAACUUUGGCGCCCGUAGCUAACGUGAUAAAUCGACCGCCUGGGGAGUACGGCCGCAAGGUUAAAACUCAAAUGAAUUGGACGGGGGCCCGCACAA
This 905-nucleotide ribosomal RNA is filed under the name uncultured bacterium. RNAcentral describes it as "bacterial SSU rRNA". It matches the Rfam family "Bacterial small subunit ribosomal RNA", at positions 33 to 928 of the family's 1533-position model. The record is from RNAcentral.